AACCCUCGACCUUAGUUGCCAGCAUUCAGUUGGGCACUCUAAGGUGACUGCCGGCUAAAAGUCGGAGGAAGGUGGGGAUGACGUCAAAUCAUCAUGCCCCUUAUGACCUGGGCUACACGCGUGCUACAAUGGGCGGUACAAAGGGUCGCGAAACCCGCGAGGGGGAGCCAAUCCCCAAAAAAGCCGCUCUCAGUUCGGAUUGCAGGCUGCAACUCGCCUGCAUGAAGCCGGAAUCGCUAGUAAUCGCGGAUCAGCAUGCCGCGGUGAAUACGUUCCCGGGCCUU
Molecule: ribosomal RNA, 284 nt
Filed under: uncultured Anoxybacillus sp.
Lineage: Bacteria; Bacillati; Bacillota; Bacilli; Caryophanales; Anoxybacillaceae
Description: partial 16S ribosomal RNA
Rfam family: Bacterial small subunit ribosomal RNA
Source: RNAcentral